AUAAGAUGGCUUUAUCUUAGCAGAUUGUUCUCGCUUUGUUUCGCUUGAAUAAUUGCCUCCAUUUUCAUGUCUUUCCUGCUGCAGAAGCUGAGUUCGUGGCUCAAAUACACUCACAUCUUUGUGACACAGCAAAUAAGAAGAAACAGCACUAUGGUGAGUUCAACCUGACAUCCCUCUGGAAAAAAAAAAAACUCACAAAGAUCUUCCAUUUUUGUGUCAAAACUUUAAAAGCUUGUCACCUUGCCUUUUUUUUAAAAAACUGAUUCAGUGUGUGUUGUAACAAAGGUACGUAGACCAGAGAAGAAAAACAGCUCCUUUCACUCCCAUCACAUGCUAUCCUCCUUGUUUAAAAAAAAAACACCAUAAAAGAUAACCAGAAAAUACCCAAAUGACCCUACAAUGUUACACUCUGAAAAAAAAUACAGUCCCACUGGUAUGGCUUUGUUCUCCUAUCCCAACCUGCUUUUUCUAUAUUGGAUAUCUGUCUGUUCUUUUGUUUCAUGUGCGUCUUUUUGCUGUAUCUCACAGAGAGCUGCUCAGAGGAGGCGGCGCACACUGCAGUCAGAACACUAAUAGACCUGGGGGUCCUCUUGGAGGAGUGGCAGAAGGGAGGCGUCUUCCUGGCUGUUAGUCCUUUGUUCCAGUUGUCAGAAAACAGGCAGAAACUGCACCGCUUCAUCUCUCAGUACCUCUACAAUUAAUACAUUUAACUGAGCAGCAUGACUCAAGGCUUCAACGCGGCUUUGUUUUCUUGCAGAGUCUGACCUCAUCCUCUGUUUGUAUCAAGGGAGCCCGUGUUCAGUUAAAACAGAUGCAUGCUGAGCCAGGACGCUGGUGUCUUUAGGUUAAUUGCAUUUUGAUUUUUCAGUGAUGAGACAUUGAUUUUAAGUUUAUCUUUAGUAAUAGCAUUUGCAUAAAGCCGCAGGAGAGGAGGAUUAUUAAGUCCCUGUAAUCAGUUGUGAGGACUCGCUGUAGGAUGACGCUCGUUGGUACAGUUUGCGCAUCCACGCAUGUUUAUGUUGUAACGAAGGAUGCAUCAAGUUUUGUCUGUUCCG
This is a long non-coding RNA of Astatotilapia calliptera (eastern happy), 1055 nucleotides long. The record is from Ensembl. NCBI's taxonomy places the organism in Eukaryota, Metazoa, Chordata, Actinopteri, Cichliformes, Cichlidae.